RNAcentral lists this transfer RNA (72 nucleotides) under Danionella translucida. It matches the Rfam family "tRNA". From Rfam's summary of the family: Transfer RNA (tRNA) molecules are approximately 80 nucleotides in length. Their secondary structure includes four short double-helical elements and three loops (D, anti-codon, and T loops). Lineage: Eukaryota; Metazoa; Chordata; Actinopteri; Cypriniformes; Danionidae. The record is from Rfam by way of RNAcentral. RNAcentral also lists the same sequence under 1 other name.
GGUUGUAUGGUGUAAUGGUUAGCACUCUGGACUCUGAAUCCAGCGAUCUGAGUUCAAAUCUUGGUAGUACCU